GCAAUGGAGACGUGUUGUUUGAUUGGAGACAAUAGGGCGGUUUUUCUUCUCCAUCCAAACGGCAAUCACGUUAAGAGAAAAUAGGUUAGGAACAACGAAUUGCGUAAUUUUUAUUUAAAGCUGGUUGUUGAGUUAAUCGCCGCGAUUAAGUUAAUCACUGUUAAAUCGUGGUUGCUUUAAUUAUCGGAACCAGCGGCCAGCAAUUCGUUGCCGUUGGUAUUUUUGUCUUAAUGCCAUCUCAGGGAAUAUUAUGGUAGUCGGUGUCUCUUCGAAUGAGCGCAGACGAUAAGAACGGAAAGACAUGGGUCGCACUACCUCCUACGAGAAGGAAAACAGUGUCGAAGAGAAUGUUAUAUCAAAGCUAUUCAUCAAGGAUGGAAACAGAGACGCAAUACUUGAUUAUCGCAAAUUUAAAGAGUGCUCCUCUCGAACCAACGUAACGCAAAGUGACAAUUAACAAUGGCUGAUGAUUGUCGAGAAUUAGCAGUGUAGGAUAGCUUGCGAAUAAUAGUAUCGGCGGAUGCUAGAUCCUCAAAUUGUUCCGGUGAAGGCAAUGCGGCUUACUCGCGCGUGAAGUGCGUUUCCGCGGGUACCGGCUGAAAGCUGAAAGAUGAUCGCUUGCGUAUUCUCUGCCGCACAAAAAUCGGUGGUUAAGCACUUUCGAGCUGACGCAUUGCUUAAACAUUUUGAUCGUUGCCACGCAGUAUGGCACGUGUUAGCUGUCUUCGUCCUGCUCAUUUUCGAUCGACGCGAGCGAAUAGAGCAUAGAAGCGAUCGCAAACGAUCCUCAUUAUUGGCGUCUCACCGAAUAAUAUUACGCGCCUCCGGACCGGCGCGGCGACGGCGGCGAGCAUUAGAAUUUUGGACCUGGAAGGAAGGCAGACAGAAAAGAAGAGUGACAGGGAAAGAGAGAGAGAGAGAGAGAGAGAGAGAGAAAAAGGAAGAAAGGGAGAGAGAGAGAAAGAGAGAGAAAUCUUGAUAAAUGGGAAAACGCGCCGUUUAAAAGGGCCGCUUAUCGGCACCGCUGAUCUCUCAGUAGAGAUCGUUUCUUCGUCUCGCUACACGUUUGAAUAAUUAAUUUGUUCUCGUGUGCAUCGGAGAUGUUAAGCGUUACACCACAUCUCACAUUACCUCGGCUGACCACGGUGUGUUUACGCUUACCCAGAAUGUUUAAGAUAACGGCCAGUAACCCGACACAGAUUUUUAAAUUACAAAAACGGAUUUCCGACCGUCUAUAUCCCUCGAUCUGUCAGAGACAUUUUACUCUCAAUUCGAGAAUGCUCGCAGGUCAAUUUUCUCUUCUACUUACAUUUUUAUCCGAUAGAAGAAGGAAUGUACCAGUUUGAUGAAAAAAUGAAGCUGACGGAUCCUUUAUAGAAAUGCAGAGCAACGAAAAAUAUAACACGAAGUAUUUACUCUUGUUCUAAAGCAGAGGCAUGAAACGCAAAAGUGCAGUCUCGUAUGAGUAAUCGCAUAUAAUUUACAUGUUGAAUCGCUUGCAAUUCCGUUAGGACAAGAUCUGAUUAAUAAUUUAUACAUACGCUUCUUGCUUCAGGUUUUUCCAUUAAAGCUUUUACCUCUGUCUUUGGAUGCAUUAGUGACCAGUGCUUUUUUUAUACGACCCGAUGCCCCGACUCAUAUUUCGCUUCGAUGAACAAGCGCAAUCUUCCGUUGCAUUCAUACGAUACCCUUUGGAUGAUGUUUGAAAAACGAAGCUGAAUUUUGCGACCGUUCAAUGACAAAAUAACGAGAGACGAAC
This is a long non-coding RNA of Temnothorax curvispinosus, 1759 nucleotides long. RefSeq lists it as uncharacterized. The record is from RefSeq and is a predicted model, not a curated record. The transcript is spliced from 5 exons. Lineage: Eukaryota; Metazoa; Arthropoda; Insecta; Hymenoptera; Formicidae.